RNAcentral lists this long non-coding RNA (580 nucleotides) under Numida meleagris (helmeted guineafowl). Its description in RNAcentral is "lncRNA (ENSNMEG00000014879.1)". Lineage: Eukaryota; Metazoa; Chordata; Aves; Galliformes; Numididae. The record is from RNAcentral.
AUGAUGCUUAAAUUGCGAACAAUUUUGGCAAGAAAGGUGAAGCAUGAAGACUUAAAAUGCUGGAUUCAAGCUCAAUGGAGGGAGAAUCUGUACCUGAUGCUUAAAGAAAAACACCAAGAAUCCCAGAAGUUCCUCAGAAAAGCAGAGUUGGUCAAAAAGGCAUUUGUGGAGCUUCAGGCGGAACACAUGAGCUCUCACCAGUGGAUCUGCACUAUGUUCCUGGCUGGCCUGCUGCCUUCUCCGAGGUGAGUCUACCUGACUGUGAUGUUCUCAGAUGCUUCUCCAGCUCCUUAUGUCUACUGCCUCUGUAGUUUAAAAAUUCUGUAGUACAAAAACCUGUGUUUAUACACGUAGCAACCUAUGAAGUCAAGACAUCAAUAAGGGCUUCUCUCUGCUGAAGCUGCAUGGGAAAAAAAAAACAACCCUCAAAUACAUACUACUUUACUUGGAUGCAGUGGGCAAAUCACAUAAGAAGGUUAGUCUUUUAUUUUUACAGACGAGGAAGAAAGGUGUAAGUGGGGUCAGUCAUGAAGAGUAGAUAGGGAAUAAACUCAGAGUUAUAUACCUUAAUUAUAAGGUU